UUACUGGGCGUAAAGCGCACGCAGGCGGUCUGUCAAGUCGGAUGUGAAAUCCCCGGGCUCAACCUGGGAACUGCAUUCGAAACUGGCAGGCUUGAGUCUUGUAGAGGGGGGUAGAAUUCCAGGUGUAGCGGUGAAAUGCGUAGAGAUCUGGAGGAAUACCGGUGGCGAAGGCGGCCCCCUGGACAAAGACUGACGCUCAGGUGCGAAAGCGUGGGGAGCAAACAGGAUUAGAUACCCUGGUAGUCCACGCCGUAAACGAUGUCUACUUGGAGGUUGUGCCCUUGAGGCGUGGCUUCCGGAGCUAACGCGUUAAGUAGACCGCCUGGGGAGUACGGCCGCAAGGUUAAAACUCAAAUGAAUUGACGGGGGCCCGCACAAGCGGUGGAGCAUGUGGUUUAAUUCGAUGCAACGCGAAGAACCUUACCUGGUCUUGACAUCCACAGAACUUUCCAGAGAUGGAUUGGUGCCUUCGGGAACUGUGAGACAGGUGCUGCAUGGCUGUCGUCAGCUCGUGUUGUGAAAUGUUGGGUUAAGUCCCGCAACGAGCGCAACCCUUAUCCUUUGUUGCCAGCGGUCCGGCCGGGAACUCAAAGGAGACUGCCAGUGAUAAACUGGAGGAAGGUGGGGAUGACGUCAAGUCAUCAUGGCCCUUACGACCAGGGCUACACACGUGCUACAAUGGCGCAUACAAAGAGAAGCGACCUCGCGAGAGCAAGCGGACCUCAUAAAGUGCGUCGUAGUCCGGAUUGGAGUCUGCAACUCGACUCCAUGAAGUCGGAAUCGCUAGUAAUCGUGGAUCAGAAUGCCACGGUGAAUACGUUCCCGGGCCUUGUACACACCGCCCGUCACACCAUGGGAGUGGGUUGCAAAAGAAGUAGGUAGCUUAACCUUCGGGAGGGCGCUUACCACUUUGUGAUUCAUGACUGGGGUGAAGUCGUAACAAGGUAACCGUAGGGGAACCUGCGGUUGGAUCACCUCCUUACCUGAAAGAAGC
This 994-nucleotide ribosomal RNA is filed under the name Salmonella enterica subsp. enterica serovar Sundsvall. RNAcentral's name for it is "bacterial SSU rRNA". It matches the Rfam family "Bacterial small subunit ribosomal RNA", at positions 551 to 1533 of the family's 1533-position model. The record is from RNAcentral. Lineage: Bacteria; Pseudomonadati; Pseudomonadota; Gammaproteobacteria; Enterobacterales; Enterobacteriaceae.